AUUGAACGCUGGCGGCAGGCUUAACACAUGCAAGUCGAGCGGGGGAAGGUAGCUUGCUACCGGACCUAGCGGCGGACGGGUGAGUAAUGCUUAGGAAUCUGCCUAUUAGUGGGGGACAACAUCUCGAAAGGGAUGCUAAUACCGCAUACGUCCUACGGGAGAAAGCAGGGGAUCUUCGGACCUUGCGCUAAUAGAUGAGCCUAAGUCGGAUUAGCUAGGUGGUGGGGUAAAGGCCUACCAAGGCGACGAUCUGUAGCGGGUCUGAGAGGAUGAUCCGCCACACUGGGACUGAGACACGGCCCAUACUCCUACGGGAGGCAGCAGUGGGGACUAUUGGACAAUGGGGGGAACCCUGAUCCAGCCCUGCCGCGUGUGCGAAGAAGGCCUUAUGGUUGUAAAGCACUUUAAGCGAGGAGGAGGCUACUUUAGUUAAUACCUAGAGAUAGUGGACGUUCCUCGCAGAAUAAGCACCGGCUAACUCCGUG
RNAcentral lists this ribosomal RNA (485 nucleotides) under uncultured bacterium. RNAcentral's name for it is "partial 16S ribosomal RNA". It matches the Rfam family "Bacterial small subunit ribosomal RNA", at positions 30 to 507 of the family's 1533-position model. The record is from RNAcentral.